GGUGAUUUUGGAGCUUGUGGAUAGGGGUGGAAAUGGGACGAGCCGAGCCGAGCUUUAAAAAAUUAGGCCUGGGCCUGUUACGAAAAUCUAAUGCCU
Long non-coding RNA from Ipomoea nil (Japanese morning glory), 96 nucleotides. RefSeq lists it as uncharacterized. The transcript is spliced from 3 exons. The record is from RefSeq and is a predicted model, not a curated record. Lineage: Eukaryota; Viridiplantae; Streptophyta; Magnoliopsida; Solanales; Convolvulaceae.